GGCGGCGAUCGGGCGGGGCGGGACAAAAGCGGCGCCCAGGCUGCCGGGGUGAGUGUGAGUGUGAGAGCGAGAACAGCCCGGCAGGUCCCGAGGCGCCGGCUGGGGACUCUACGCGGAAAGUUCCCAGUCCCCAGCCGCAGGUAAUGGGGAGGGAAUUGAGAGGUUCCCCUGUUUACAUCAGCAAUUGUGAAAGCAUGAUAGCAACAGCUGCGGUAUCCUCUCCCAGGAGCGGGAUUUCCAGUGAUGCUAACAUUCUUUUUCCUUUAAGGUAUUUUCCCUGCCACUGAUCAUGGAAAGAAAUCUUCGAGAAGGGGAAAAAGUUGCACACGGGCCACCGAUCGGCAGGGAUCACCUCAUUAAGGGACUCUAAGCGAGGACAGGAUGCGGGUCGCCCUCCCGGGUGCCAGCAGCACCGGGCCUUGCGAGGCGCUUCCGAUAUCCCUGCGCCUGGUCUGGCCCAGAGCCACGCAGCGGAGGGGAGCGGGCGCUGUUUUCGGCUUUUCCCCCUGACCUUUGGAGCUCUCUCCCCGCCGCGCCCCGCCCCGCCCCGCCCCGGGAUAGACGAGGGCCCAGCGCUGGCGGCGCCGAGCCGGGAACACAAGCGGAGCCCCGAGUGUGCACCGCUGCGGGUAUCUGCCAGCACGUUUGCACGUUUGCACAUUGCAGUUCCUGUGUCCCCCCUCCUGUUCCCCGGCCUCUGGAUCGGCGUGCGCCCCGGCGGAGCCGCCCGGGUGCCUAAGGAAGCGCUUGGCUAGCUCGUGCCCACUCGCGACGCGCGGGGCCGAGCGGGGCCACGCGGCGCAUCCGCGCAGCCAGUGCCUGUGAAGUUAAAACAGCCCGAACUCUUAGUGCCCGAGAGUGGAUUGCAUGCCAAUUCUCCAAGGCAAGAUCCCUAAAUACAUAUAUUUACAGUAACUCAUGGUCUGGUCGCAAGGAACACGUUGUUUAUUCACUGAAACAGCACGAGUUCAGUGUCCUUACGCUACAGGAUACAGGAUAGGAAGGUUCCCUAGCGGCGUCCCUGUAAUGAAUGAUCCAAGAGUAACACCACCACAACCUGCGAGGAAGGCACAGUGGUUUCGGCACAGAGGUUUGUGCCCGUCCCUUCAGUCCGGGAAUUCCGAAGCGCCGGUGUCCACCGGCGUGACCGUGGAUCGGGGCGUGCUCCUGCGAGUCCGGCGAGUUCGUGUCCACCGCCUGGCCGCCCGCCCCAGAAACCUGGCUCCGGGAGAUGGGUCCUGCCUUCCAGUGGGCAGAAGGAAAGGAUGCCAGCAAAAAUGGCUAAUCCUCUUCCAGCUGCAGUAAAUUGACGACUGGCCAAAGCCAAGCGAAACCCGCUGCAGUUAAAAAGAUUUUAGCUUCACGUCUGGGGCUGAGAAUGGAGCGGCAGUAUAUAAAACGACCUGUGGAUCAAUGGAAAGGAGAUCGUAGUGUCUCCGAAUAUUAAUACGAUGUCCUCUAUACCUGCAUUGGAAUUCCCUGUGCGUUGUAACAGUGUUCCAAGAGGAAGCUUUUUAAACAUAUGAAAAUAAGAAUUGCAGAUCUUCUAAGACUCAUUCUUUUUAUACCAACUAUGUCCAAACUCCUAUGGCGUCCAAGUGGUUGCAAUGGCACCCAUGUCUUGGGUCAGUCCUGUGGCCAGUCCUGUGGCCAUAUUAAAGGAGAUAUCUUGACUGAGGAGGAUCACAGAGUAGUAAGGAGCAUAAGGAAGGAAGGACAGAAACUCCAACAGACCAAGUUCCUGAACAGUGUCCUGAGCUCCAGGCAGGGCUCUUUUUGGUUAGGAAAAGAGAAGACUCACUGAGCUCCUAGAGAAAUGAAGAGCUGGGUGUUGGCCUGGUCAGGGCUUCAGUGUCAAAUAUCUUCCUGUUGGAAGAUAGGAAACAGGAAGCAACCUGUUGGAAAGAUCGACCUGGGAUUUGUAGUGUCAUCAGCCACCUGGUUCCACACUACAAAGAUGCAGAGGACACCGGACCACCAGACCACUGUACUGGCUGGGAUUGUGAACUCUGGAAGAACACCAGAGAGACAGAUUUCAUCAUACAAUGUCAAGGAGAACAUGCUUUCUACAGACUGUGAACUCCCACAGUGUAUUUGUUGAUGGCUACUAGAGUCAGAUGUAGAAGAAUGCAAACAUCCAUCUGCUCACUGGAGAACCAAAGGAUCCAGUCACGGGCUUGGAGGCCAUGGCAAUGUCCCACGCAAGCUUAUAUGAAGGAUCUGCACCGGAAAGGCCCAAAGGCCAAUGGUGGAAGACAGAAAGUUUGUGCCAGCAGGAUGAAAGAUCUGCACUGGAAGCCAGGAGAUGAUGUCCAAGAUGAAGAUGAGGGUUGACAUCAGCCAAAGCUCCUUUCCAGACAAACCACCAAAAGCAGCUUCUUCAGGAACAUCAGGGGUAUUUACUGUAUAUUGUACUGCUUACCAUCCACUAUGAUGUCACAGAAAGCUCAAGGAAGGGAUAUCAUCCAGACUCAGUAAAUUCACAACUUGUUUUUCCCAUAAUAUGGGUAUGAAUGAGUGUAAUAAAUAAAAAAGUAUUUUAAAUGGUGUUAAUUUGAACCAACGUAAAUUGCAGAAAUCUUUCCAAAAGCUGUUUUCUUAAAGUUCCUAGUAUUUCCUCCCAUGUUUAGGAUAAGCAUACCUGCUUCUCUUUCUUUCUCUCCAUUGUCUUCUGAGAAAUGCCUAAAAUCCACAAAAGUUGAAUACACUUUAUGGUUUAUUCCUCUUCUCUUCUACUUUGAUUCUCAAUCCAUUGAGCUUAGAUUGUAGCCAAUGUAUAAAUCAAUAGGUUGUAAAUGCAAUUUACAUAGAUUAUCCUGUUGUUUUUUGGUUAUAUGGUCAAGUGUGGGCAAAGUUCAAUAGGUUCCAUUUUUUUGUUCAGUGUGAAAUACCAGAACACCAAAAGCUCUAGAAGAUUCUUAAGGAGAUAUGUAAAUCUUUGAAGAAGAUACAUGAGUACAUGUCAUACUGUUGAGCCAAUGAAAGUACAUAAAUCACAGCUGGAGAGAGUUUCUUUAAUUAGAGAAUGUCCAAUUUACCACAUGGAGAAAAGUAUCUCCUAAGUUUCUUCAUGCCUUCUCUUGGGACUCUUUGGAAUAACAAAGUAACUACUUUAUUUAAGGGAUUUUCCCUUUUAAGACCCUGCUAUUCUAGUUUCUAGAUAAUUUCAUAUUCUUGAUGAAUGUUGAUUUGUCUCUGUUAUGGCUUGUAUCUAGAUGUCCUCCAAAAGCCUCAUGAGGUCAUAGGUGGAGAGUAUCAAAGGUGGCUGGAUUAGGGUGUGUGAUAGGAUUAAGGCUGAGAUGUUGGGAUUAACGGUGCCCCACCCUGGGUGUGGGUGGCACCACCCAAAAGAUGGGUAGCCUGGUUAGAAUAUAAAGGAACAGAAAGAAGUUGCUUUGCUAUUUUGCUGCUUUGCUGCCUUCUACCUGCCCUGCUUUGCCAUGGACUAUUUCUUCUCUGUGAUGCCACUCUGCCAUGCCACCCUGUCUUGGACCCAGCUGACAAUGUACUGAAAUGUCUACAAACUGUGAGCUGAAAUAAACUUUUCUGCCUUUAACUCUGGGUGUUUGAUAUUUUGUCUCAGCAAUGAGAAAAAUAACUAAGACACAUUCCAAAUGAAUAAGUAGCUAUCUUUCCAAUUUCAUUUAAUAAGAGAAUUUGAAAUCUCUUC
This 3670-nucleotide long non-coding RNA is filed under the name Heterocephalus glaber (naked mole-rat). RNAcentral's name for it is "lncRNA (ENSHGLG00100049728.1)". Lineage: Eukaryota; Metazoa; Chordata; Mammalia; Rodentia; Bathyergidae. The record is from RNAcentral.